Molecule: non-coding RNA, 83 nt
Filed under: uncultured Prevotellamassilia sp.
Lineage: Bacteria; Pseudomonadati; Bacteroidota; Bacteroidia; Bacteroidales; Prevotellaceae
Description: TPP riboswitch (THI element)
Rfam family: TPP riboswitch aptamer (THI element)
About the family: Vitamin B(1) in its active form thiamin pyrophosphate (TPP) is an essential coenzyme that is synthesised by coupling of pyrimidine and thiazole moieties in bacteria. The previously detected thiamin-regulatory element, thi box was extended, resulting in a new, highly conserved RNA secondary structure, the THI element, which is widely distributed in eubacteria and also occurs in some archaea.
Source: RNAcentral
AGGGGGUGCCGGUGUCUGUGGAUCCGGCUGAGAGCAUACCCUAAGCACCUGAUGCGGAUAAUGCCGCCGAAGGGAUCUGUUUG